This is a long non-coding RNA of Ruditapes philippinarum (Manila clam), 887 nucleotides long. RefSeq lists it as uncharacterized. The transcript has 5 exons. Lineage: Eukaryota; Metazoa; Mollusca; Bivalvia; Venerida; Veneridae. The record is from RefSeq and is a predicted model, not a curated record.
UUACAACCAUUCCAGGAUUUUUGUUUUGCGAAACAGAAAAAAUAAAUUCCUAAAUAAUUAUGGCAUGCAAGUGGUCAAUUUAAUACGAAUGUUGCUAAGUGCAAGAUUAUGUAGGGCAUUGAUCUUUUUGUGUUUACAGGCACAAAAGAAACGUGUGUAAGUUUAGGAGCUGUAGUUGGGUCCGUUAUUGGUGUAUUAGCUGUUGGAAUUCUUAUUGGUGUGAUUUGUACCUUUUUUAUUCUUACUAGAAAAGGAAUUAUAGCAGGCUCGAAACCUCAGCAGACAGUUUCUCGUGACAUAGAAUUAACUGGACCAUCAACUGCUCUGGAUACUUAUGAGCAACUUCAAAACAGAACAGAUACUGAAACCAGAGAAACUUAUGACUCUCUUGAAGUCAACUCCAGAGUGCAACAAAACAGCCAAUCUCAGUAUGAGAGUCUGAAUCAGGAUGCUGAGCAAUAUCACACAUAUACAGAUCUAAAACAAAGCCGAUAAAUCUUUAGAAUAUACUUGAGAGACUCGUCUUGAACGUUCUGGUCUAUUCGGAAAACUUUAUAGAAGGAUUGUUUGUAAUAUUUGUAUUUCUGUUAUUUUAAGGACUGGUGAAUUAUGGCAGUUAUGUUGCUAUAAUAUCAACAUUAUUCGUAAAAAAGACUUUUUAAUUAAAUGUUUAUUUGUGAUUCACAUGUGUAAAGCUAAAAUAUGUGUUAUAUCAGAAGUAAAUUGAAAGUUAAUUUCACAUAGAUGAUAUCAAUUUAAGUCAAGCUUUUAUUAUGUCUGUUCAUUUUGCUUAAGCGGUAGCGUUUUGUUAUUCUAGUGAUAUUUUGUAAUAAUUAUUAUCUUACAUUUUCUGUAAAUAAGACAUGAAACAUUUGUAUUCACGUAUU